This is a non-coding RNA of Pseudonaja textilis, 233 nucleotides long. The record is from RefSeq and is a predicted model, not a curated record. Lineage: Eukaryota; Metazoa; Chordata; Lepidosauria; Squamata; Elapidae.
AUGAUCAUAAGUCACUUUUUUCAGUUCUGUUGUAACUUUGAAAGGUUAUAAAUGAACUGUUGUAAAUCGAGGACUAACUGUAUAAAUUUAUCCAUUUAAAGACAGUAUCACUUAUCAGCCAAUUAUCCCUGAUGAUCUCUGAAGAAAGAUGAUCACCAACCUAAACUGUUGAAAUAUGCAAAUGCACAAUUAAUCACUGAAUUACAAAUAUAGAGAAAAUGGCUUCCAAAGAC